AUUGAACGCUGGCGGCAUGCCUUACACAUGCAAGUCGAACGGCAGCACGGGAGCAAUCCUGGUGGCGAGUGGCGAACGGGUGAGUAAUGUAUCGGAACGUACCUUUCAGUGGGGGAUAACGUAGCGAAAGUUACGCUAAUACCGCAUAUUCUGUGAGCAGGAAAGCAGGGGAUCGCAAGACCUUGCGCUGAUUGAGCGGCCGAUAUCAGAUUAGCUAGUUGGUGAGGUAAAGGCUCACCAAGGCGACGAUCUGUAGCGGGUCUGAGAGGAUGAUCCGCCACACUGAAACUGAGACACGGUCCAGACUCCUACGGGAGGCAGCAGUGGGGAAUUUUGGACAAUGGGCGCAAGCCUGAUCCAGCCAUGCCGCGUGAGUGAAGAAGGCCUUCGGGUUGUAAAGCUCUUUCAGCCGGGAAGAAAACGCAUGGGUUAAUACCCUGUGUGGAUGACGGUACCGGAAUAAGAAGCACCGGCUAACUACGUG
RNAcentral lists this ribosomal RNA (484 nucleotides) under uncultured bacterium. RNAcentral describes it as "bacterial SSU rRNA". It matches the Rfam family "Bacterial small subunit ribosomal RNA", at positions 30 to 507 of the family's 1533-position model. The record is from RNAcentral.